CAAUAGCGUAUAUUAAAGUUGUUGCAGUUAAAAAGCUCGUAGUUGGAUUUCUGGGAGGGUGCCAAUGUCCGUCAACGUGCGUGUGCAGCGGCGCCCUUCCAUCCUUCUGUUAACGCCUCUGGGCAUUUACUCGCCGGUGGCGGGCUCAGAUAUUUUACCUUGAGAAAAUUAGAGUGUUUCAGGCAGGCUAGGCCGGAAUACAUUAGCAUGGAAUAAUAGAAUAGGACUAUGGUCUCUUUGUUGGUUUGAGGGACUAUGGUAAUGAUUAAUAGGGAUAGUUGGGGGCAUUAGUAUUUAAUUGUCAGAGGUGGAAUUCUCAGAUUUGUUAAAGACUAACUUAUGCGAAAGCAUUUGCCAAGGAUGUUUUCAUUAA
Molecule: ribosomal RNA, 373 nt
Filed under: uncultured eukaryote
Lineage: Eukaryota
Description: partial 18S ribosomal RNA
Rfam family: Eukaryotic small subunit ribosomal RNA
Source: RNAcentral